GUACACACCGCCCGUCACACCAUGGGAGUUGGUUCUACCCGAAGGCGCUGCGCCAACCGCAAGGGAUGCAGGUGCCGAAGGUGUCUUCCGUGAUUGGGACUAAGUCGUAACAAGGUAGCCGUAGGUGAACCUGCAGAAGGAUCA
This 144-nucleotide ribosomal RNA is filed under the name uncultured eukaryote. RNAcentral describes it as "partial small subunit ribosomal RNA". It matches the Rfam family "Bacterial small subunit ribosomal RNA", at positions 1383 to 1525 of the family's 1533-position model. The record is from RNAcentral.